RNAcentral lists this ribosomal RNA (253 nucleotides) under uncultured bacterium. RNAcentral describes it as "partial 16S ribosomal RNA". It matches the Rfam family "Bacterial small subunit ribosomal RNA", at positions 524 to 776 of the family's 1533-position model. The record is from RNAcentral.
UACGAACCGUGCGAACGUUGUUCGGAAUCACUGGGCUUAAAGGGCGCGUAGGCGGCUUGCCAAGUCCGGGGUGAAAUCCUCCAGCUUAACUGGAGAAGUGCCUUGGAUACUGGCGAGCUCGAGGGAGGCAGGGGUUGUGGGAACUUCCGGUGGAGCGGUGAAAUGCGUUGAUAUCGGAAGGAACGCCGGUGGCGAAAGCGCACAACUGGUCCUCUUCUGACGCUGAGGCGCGAAAGCCAGGGGAGCAAACGGG